Molecule: ribosomal RNA, 357 nt
Filed under: Escherichia coli
Lineage: Bacteria; Pseudomonadati; Pseudomonadota; Gammaproteobacteria; Enterobacterales; Enterobacteriaceae
Description: bacterial SSU rRNA
Rfam family: Bacterial small subunit ribosomal RNA
Source: RNAcentral
UUCGCUGACGAGUGGCGGACGGGUGAGUAAUGUCUGGGAAACUGCCUGAUGGAGGGGGAUAACUACUGGAAACGGUAGCUAAUACCGCAUAACGUCGCAAGACCAAAGAGGGGGACCUUCGGGCCUCUUGCCAUCGGAUGUGCCCAGAUGGGAUUAGCUAGUAGGUGGGGUAACGGCUCACCUAGGCGACGAUCCCUAGCUGGUCUGAGAGGAUGACCAGCCACACUGGAACUGAGACACGGUCCAGACUCCUACGGGAGGCAGCAGUGGGGAAUAUUGCACAAUGGGCGCAAGCCUGAUGCAGCCAUGCCGCGUGUAUGAAGAAGGCCUUCGGGUUGUAAAGUACUUUCAGCGGGG